GACGAACGCUGGCGGCGUGCUUAACACAUGCAAGUCGAACGGUGAAGCGAGUCCUUUCACUCGUGGAUCAGUGGCGAACGGGUGAGUAACACGUGAGUAACCUGCCCAUCACUCUGGGAUAAGCACUGGAAACGGUGUCUAAUACUGGAUACGACCAACCCUUGCAUGGGGUGUUGGUGGAAAGAUUUAGCGGUGGUGGAUGGACUCGCGGCCUAUCAGCUUGUUGGCGGGGUAAUGGCCCACCAAGGCUACGACGGGUAGCCGGCCUGAGAGGGUGACCGGCCACACUGGGACUGAGACACGGCCCAGACUCCUACGGGAGGCAGCAGUGGGGAAUAUUGCACAAUGGGCGGAAGCCUGAUGCAGCGACGCCGCGUGAGGGAUGACGGCCUUCGGGUUGUAAACCGCUUUCAGCAGGGAAGAAGCGAAAGUGACGGUACCUGGAGAAGAAGCACCGGCUAACUACGUG
This 469-nucleotide ribosomal RNA is filed under the name uncultured bacterium. RNAcentral describes it as "partial 16S ribosomal RNA". It matches the Rfam family "Bacterial small subunit ribosomal RNA", at positions 28 to 507 of the family's 1533-position model. The record is from RNAcentral.